AGAGUUUGAUCCUGGCUCAGGAUGAACGCUAGCGGCAGGCCUAACACAUGCAAGUCGAACGGUAAGAUCCAGCUUGCUGGAUACACGAGUGGCGCACGGGUGAGUAACGCGUAUGCAACCUACCUUUAACUAGAGAAUAGCCCGGGGAAACCCGGAUUAAUACUCUAUAAUAUCUUAGAUUCGCAUGUUUCUAAGAUUAAAGCUCCGGCGGUUAAAGAUGGGCAUGCGUGACAUUAGAUUGUUGGUGAGGUAACGGCUCACCAAGUCUACGAUGUCUAGGGGGCCUGAGAGGGUGGUCCCCCACACUGGUACUGAGACACGGACCAGACUCCUACGGGAGGCAGCAGUGAGGAAUAUUGGGCAAUGGACGAAAGUCUGACCCAGCCAUGCCGCGUGCAGGAUGACGGCCCUACGGGUUGUAAACUGCUUUUAUACAGGAAGAACUCCCUGAUCGUGAUCAGGGUUGACGGUACUGUACGAAUAAGCAUCGGCUAACUCCGUGCCAGCAGCCGCGGUAAUACGGAGGAUGCAAGCGUUAUCCGGAUUUAUUGGGUUUAAAGGGUGCGUAGGCGGAAAUUUAAGUCAGUGGUGAAAUCCUGCAGCUCAACUGUAGAACUGCCAUUGAUACUGAUUUUCUUGAGUCCAGUUGAGGUGGGCGGAAUGUGUAGUGUAGCGGUGAAAUGCUUAGAUAUUACACAGAACACCAAUUGCGAAGGCAGCUCACUAAACUGGCACUGACGCUGAGGCACGAAAGCGUGGGGAGCGAACAGGAUUAGAUACCCUGGUAGUCCACGCCGUAAACGAUGAUCACUCGCUGUUGGCGAUACACAGUCAGCGGCUGAGCUAAAGCAUUAAGUGAUCCACCUGGGGAGUACGAUCGCAAGAUUGAAGCUCAAAGGAAUUGACGGGGGCCCGCACAAGCGGAGGAACAUGUGGUUUAAUUCGAUGAUACGCGAGGAACCUUACCUGGGCUUAAAUGCAGAACGACGAUUCGGGAAACCGAUUCUCCCUUCGGGGCGGACUGCAAGGUGCUGCAUGGUUGUCGUCAGCUCGUGCCGUGAGGUGUCGGGUUAAGUCCCAUAACGAGCGCAACCCCUAUUGUUAGUUGCCAGCGGAUAAUGCCGGGGACUCUAACGAAACUGCCGGUGUAAACCGUGAGGAAGGUGGGGAUGACGUCAAAUCAGCACGGCCCUUAUGUCC
RNAcentral lists this ribosomal RNA (1200 nucleotides) under metagenome. RNAcentral's name for it is "bacterial SSU rRNA". It matches the Rfam family "Bacterial small subunit ribosomal RNA", at positions 8 to 1209 of the family's 1533-position model. The record is from RNAcentral.